Molecule: non-coding RNA, 31 nt
Organism: Takifugu rubripes (torafugu)
Lineage: Eukaryota; Metazoa; Chordata; Actinopteri; Tetraodontiformes; Tetraodontidae
Source: Rfam
CCAUUAUCGGGAGCAGUGCCUUCCAUAAUGA